UGAGAUAAUCGGGUGGUUGCGGAAUCUUUUAGAUUACGAGGAAAGUCCGAACACCAUAGGACAGGAUGCCGGCUAACUACCGGUGAAGGCGACUUCAAGGAAAGUGCAACAGAAAUAAACCGCUGGGCCUUAGCCUAGCAAGGGUGGAAAGGCGGAGUAAGAGCCCACCGACUUUUCGGUAACGAGAAGUGCCAUGUAAACCCCAUCCGGUGCAAGAUUUAGGGAUAUGACUUGUCCGGUCGAUUCCCUUUUCAUCGCUUGAACCAUAUGGCAACAUAUGGUCUAGACAGAUAGCCAUCCAAGACAGAAUUCGGCUUACAGAUUAUUCUCAUAUU
RNAcentral lists this RNase P RNA (335 nucleotides) under Clostridia bacterium. RNAcentral's name for it is "RNase P RNA component class A". It matches the Rfam family "Bacterial RNase P class A". Rfam says of the family: Ribonuclease P (RNase P) is a ubiquitous endoribonuclease, found in archaea, bacteria and eukarya as well as chloroplasts and mitochondria. Its best characterised activity is the generation of mature 5'-ends of tRNAs by cleaving the 5'-leader elements of precursor-tRNAs. The record is from RNAcentral. Lineage: Bacteria; Bacillati; Bacillota; Clostridia.